CAAAGGUUUGGUCCUGGCCUUUCCAACAACUUUAGCUCAGCUUACACAUGCAAGUUUCCGCACCCCCGUGAGAAUGCCCCACAGUUCCCUGCCUGGGAACAAGGAGCUGGUAUCAGGCACACCCCUUCCAUAGCCCACGACGCCUUGCUUAGCCACACCCCCAAGGGAAUUCAGCAGUGAUAAACAUUAAGCCAUAAGUGAAAACUUGACUUAGUCAGAGCUAAGAGGGCCGGUAAAACUCGUGCCAGCCACCGCGGUUAUACGAGAGACCCAAGUUGUUAGACAUCGGCGUAAAGCGUGGUUAAGAUAGAUUCACUACUAAAGCCAAACACCCUCCGUACUGUUAUACGUUCACGAGAGUAGGAAGCCCAAUCACGAAAGUGGCUUUACAACAUCUGAGCCCACGAAAGCUAGGGUACAAACUGGGAUUAGAUACCCCACUAUGCCUAGCCAUAAACAUAGACAGUUCACAUACCCCGCUGUCCGCCCGGGUACUACGAGCAUAAGCUUAAAACCCAAAGGACUUGGCGGUGCUUUAAACCCACCUAGAGGAGCCUGUUCUAGAACCGAUAAUCCCCGUUCAACCUCACCCCUCCUUGCUCUUUCCGCCUAUAUACCACCGUCGUCAGUUUACCCUGUGAAGGUUAAACAGUAAGCACAAUCGGCACAGCCCAAAACGUCAGGUCGAGGUGUAGCGUAUGGAGGGGGAAGAAAUGGGCUACAUUCCCUAAUAUUAGGGCAUACGGAUUAUAUGAUGAAACGCAUAUCUGAAGGAGGAUUUAGCAGUAAGCGGGAAAUAGAGUGUCCCACUGAAACCGGCUCUAAAGCGCGCACACACCGCCCGUCACUCUCCCCGAGCUAAGAUCUUUAAUUAACUAAAGCCCCACAAUUGCAAAGGGGAGGCAAGUCGUAACAUGGUAAGUGUACCGGAAGGUGCACUUGGAAUAAAUACAC
RNAcentral lists this non-coding RNA (954 nucleotides) under Centropyge multifasciata (barred angelfish). RNAcentral's name for it is "Paracentropyge multifasciata 12S ribosomal RNA". It matches the Rfam family "Bacterial small subunit ribosomal RNA". The record is from RNAcentral. Lineage: Eukaryota; Metazoa; Chordata; Actinopteri; Pomacanthidae.